GACGAACGCUGGCGGCGUGCUUAACACAUGCAAGUCGAACGGAAAGGCCCAGCUUGCUGGGUGCUCGAGUGGCGAACGGGUGAGUAACACGUGGGUGAUCUGCCCCUAACUUCGGGAUAAGCUUGGGAAACUGGGUCUAAUACCGGAUAGGACAAUCGUUUAGUGUCGGUUGUGGAAAGUUUUUUCGGUUUGGGAUGGGCCCGCGGCCUAUCAGCUUGUUGGUGGGGUAAUGGCCUACCAAGGCGUCGACGGGUAGCCGGCCUGAGAGGGUGGACGGCCACAUUGGGACUGAGAUACGGCCCAGACGCCAACGGGAGGCAGCAGUGGGGAAUAUUGCACAAUGGGAGCAAGCCUGAUGCAGCGACGCCGCGUGGGGGAUGACGGCCUUCGGGUUGUAAACCUCUUUCGACAGGGACGAAGCUUUGGUGACGGUACCUGUAUAAGAAGCACCGGCUAACUACGUG
This 464-nucleotide ribosomal RNA is filed under the name uncultured bacterium. RNAcentral's name for it is "partial 16S ribosomal RNA". It matches the Rfam family "Bacterial small subunit ribosomal RNA", at positions 28 to 507 of the family's 1533-position model. The record is from RNAcentral.